GGGAGGUAGGGGGUCUCAUUAAGGGAUGUCACUAGCAUGAAUGGAACUGCUUAAUCAUUCCAGCACAGAGCACCCAUGCCCCAGAUGCUGGCUGCUAGCGGCUCACAUGCUUGUUCAUUUAUUGAAAGCACUAUCCUUGGUUACAAAGAGCCUCUUGGUGGAUGAUGCCUGGGACAUUUUACCCUACCCUGGGGCAGUGCAUGGCAUUUGGUUGACAGAUGGGAGAGUGUAACAGCUCAGCCCCUUUAGCUGGGCAGGACAACCUCUGAGAUGCAGCAGAUGCUGCAGACCUCCCAGUGGGACCGGGUCUAGGCUAGACUAUUCCUAAACCCCAUCUUUGCCCAGCCCCUUCUGCCCCACACUGCUUCUCUCCUCAUCCCCACCCCCUCACUAUAGGUUUCUUCUCAGGGCUUUCCCUCAAUUAAUCAUUUGCACAAGAAUUCCAUCUCAGCCUCUGAGUCUAGAGAACCUAAGACAAGCCCCUUUCAUGGACAGUGUGCUGGGCAUGGGAGAUGGAGGAGGGCAUCCAGAAAAGAAGAGAACAGGGCUGAAGCUAGGACAGGGACCACAACCAUGUCGCCUUACUUUGCCCCAUCCUUCCCACCCUGAUUCUACUGUGCAGAUGCCAUGGAUGUGCCACUUAGAAUGCCAUCAAUUAUUGAAGAAGUUCCAAAAGAAGGGAAUGUAAGUGAAGAUGAAAGAUUCCAAUGGAAGACAGACUGGUCCCACUGCUUGGGGAGGACCUAAGCUAUCAUGUCUGGGAAAAAAGCAUUUUAGUUUCCUGCUGUGAGAAAGCUCCAAAUGCUUUGGAGGCUGAAGAAGCUGCCCUGACAAAGACAGGAAAGCGCGGGCGGGGCUGAUGGGUCUUUUUCAUCUCCCCCCUUUGCUGAUGAAGAGGCAGUGCUGUAAAAUGACGAAAUCAAGAAAGCACAGGACUCUGGCUCAGAACUGUUGGCAGGCACAACUGAGAAGCUAGAAUCUAAUAUCAUUGUUUUGCUUUAUUUAUGACAAGCAAUAUUGGUUUUCCAUUUAUGGUAGAGAUAUUAAGUUUCCCUUUGAAAUAAAUGUAUUUUUGAAGUUAAAACAGUGUUGAUUGAAAACAAAUACUAAAUAAAUAAUAAGUAGCUUGUGGGUAUGUGCAAGUCAUGAAAACGGUACCCAAAUUACUGCAAUCUGGGAACACCUCAUAGACCAAGCAAGUAGGAAGAGGCUCCUGGAAGGGAAAAUGCAGAUUCCUCUCCUUUCCUGUCUAGGGAGGAAAAAGGACUGGUUUAGGCCCUGCUCCAAAUAAAAGACAUGGUCACAAUCCUCUAAGAUGGUGCUUUUCAGGCCAAGGCCCAGAGACUGAUGCCAAUCCAAAGUGAUAUUUUCAAAUCAUUUGUGAGAAGAAAAAAUAAGGACCGUGUAUAUGUCAGUGUAAGAAGGCCAACUAUUCUUUCUUAGAUUCCCAUCUGUGACUUGAUAAAUAUUUGAUGCAGUGGCCAGUCAACAUCCCUACAUUAGUGAAACUUCUGCCCAGGAGCAACUGCACAGCUCUCAGCAAUGAGAUCGGAAACUGAAGGUUUCCACUAAAAGAAACUGAAUCUCCUUGGAGAAAUGGCUGAUUCAAUGUCUGGAGCAAAGAAAGUGCAAGAUGAGCCUGGGACCUCCUCUGCUACAGAAUCGUGAAAUAAGUAAAGAAGCACUCAAAACCAACAGGCAUAUGUCAGAAGGACACAGAGACCAACUGGAAGGGGCUCCCGUUGGCCUAAUUUGGGACAAAUUGAGAAUUGAAAAGAAAACCGAUGGUAAUGAUUUUUCCUAGUUGACAGUGAUACUCAAGAACAUUAAAAGUAGAUAAGCAAAUAUCUUCGCAUCUGGUCUCCAAUGUUAUUAUCAUACAUCCAC
RNAcentral lists this long non-coding RNA (1887 nucleotides) under Homo sapiens (human). Its description in RNAcentral is "HSALNT0095834". Lineage: Eukaryota; Metazoa; Chordata; Mammalia; Primates; Hominidae. The record is from RNAcentral.